Molecule: long non-coding RNA, 287 nt
Filed under: Setaria viridis
Lineage: Eukaryota; Viridiplantae; Streptophyta; Magnoliopsida; Poales; Poaceae
Description: long non-coding RNA (SVIR_LNC007608)
Source: RNAcentral
UUGGAUUGGAUUUUUAGGAUGCCCUCGAGAGGCACCCUUGGCUGCCUUAUAUAGGCUGAUGACCUAGGGUUACAAGUCAGUUUGAAUCCAAUUUACUCGGUUGUUACAUGGAAGGAAAUCUGGGUUGAAUUACAAUACGUAUCCUGCAAUAUCCGGGCUGAUUUGAAUCGCACGCCCCCCUUGGCAUGUACUCCAAGUAUCUUCAUGUCCUUAGCCUGCACGUUUUGGUCGGGCAGACUCACUUGUUAGGACUGGCCAAUACCCUAUUCGGUGGGGACCCAUGGAGU